CUUACACAUGCAGUCGAACGGAAAGGCCCUGCUUUUGUGGGGUGCUCGAGUGGCGAACGGGUGAGUAACACGUGAGUAACCUGCCCUUGACUUUGGGAUAACUUCAGGAAACUGGGGCUAAUACCGGAUAGGAGCUCCUGCUGCAUGGUGGGGGUUGGAAAGUUUCGGCGGUUGGGGAUGGACUCGCGGCUUAUCAGCUUGUUGGUGGGGUAGUGGCUUACCAAGGCUUUGACGGGUAGCCGGCCUGAGAGGGUGACCGGCCACAUUGGGACUGAGAUACGGCCCAGACUCCUACGGGGGGCAGCAGUGGGGAAUAUUGCACAAUGGGCGGAAGCCUGAUGCAGCAACGCCGCGUGCGGGAUGACGGCCUUCGGAGUUGUAAACCGCUUUCGCCUGUGACGGAAUGCGUGAGUGACGGUAAUGGGUAAA
This 429-nucleotide ribosomal RNA is filed under the name uncultured Actinomycetales bacterium. RNAcentral's name for it is "bacterial SSU rRNA". It matches the Rfam family "Bacterial small subunit ribosomal RNA", at positions 48 to 486 of the family's 1533-position model. Lineage: Bacteria; Bacillati; Actinomycetota; Actinomycetes; Actinomycetales. The record is from RNAcentral.